Molecule: long non-coding RNA, 216 nt
Filed under: Elaeis guineensis (African oil palm)
Lineage: Eukaryota; Viridiplantae; Streptophyta; Magnoliopsida; Arecales; Arecaceae
Description: long non-coding RNA (EGUI_LNC010816)
Source: RNAcentral
GAGCUGUGAGUGGAGAGGAUCCUUGUCAAGGGUAACUCUUCCACGAUCAUAAGCUGGAUCUAGGAUGACAUGAAGCAGUUGCGAGCUCAUUCGCUGCUUCAUGAUACACAUCUAGGUGUCCCUCUAUCGGUUCUUUAUGAUGGUUGUUCGUCAUGUUUACCGAGAGACGAACAAUGCCAUAGAUUAGAUGGCUUCUUUUAUUGCUAAUCACACCAA